This 253-nucleotide ribosomal RNA is filed under the name uncultured bacterium. Its description in RNAcentral is "partial 16S ribosomal RNA". It matches the Rfam family "Bacterial small subunit ribosomal RNA", at positions 524 to 776 of the family's 1533-position model. The record is from RNAcentral.
UACGUAGGGUGCAAGCGUUGUCCGGAAUUAUUGGGCGUAAAGAGCUCGUAGGCGGUUUGUCACGUCGGAUGUGAAAACCCGAGGCUUAACCUCGGGCCUGCAUUCGAUACGGGCUGACUAGAGUUCGGUAGGGGAGACUGGAAUUCCUGGUGUAGCGGUGAAAUGCGCAGAUAUCAGGAGGAACACCGGUGGCGAAGGCAGGUCACUGGGCCGCAACUGACGCUGAGGAGCGAAAGCAUGGGGAGCGAACAGG